Bombus pyrosoma is the source of this 737-nucleotide long non-coding RNA. RefSeq lists it as uncharacterized. The transcript has 3 exons. The record is from RefSeq and is a predicted model, not a curated record. Lineage: Eukaryota; Metazoa; Arthropoda; Insecta; Hymenoptera; Apidae.
UUCAGAUGUGGAAACGAGACUAAAGUAAGGGAAUACUGGAAAGAAGAGAGAGAAAAAGGAUGCAGGCUAUGUAAAAGGAAAGAAGAAGAUUUCAGACACGUAAUAGAAGAAUGCGAAAUAACGGAAGGACCAAAGGACGCGGAAAAAAUACUAAACGAGACUGGAGAAGGACUAACAGAACUAAAAGCAAUAAUAGAGAGGAGAAGGGCGAUACAAGACAAGAAGGAACGACAAUAAGAAAGCACAGUUCGUUGCUGUGUCUCUUGAAAAUUGUCGAAAUGAUAACAAAAGUAAAAAAGAAGGAUUUUCAUUCUGGCGAGGCUACGGCCACCUUGAAGUUAUCAGGCAGCCAGAACGUUUCGAUUGCACUACACACCGUGUCGUAUCAAAACUGCACCGUAUCGCCGCACGAAUUAUUCCCUGACACGGCGGAAUUAAUCGCAGCCUGAUAACGCGACUCGAUAACGCACGCGUGUGCUCCGAGAAAAAGUUCGUAACACGUUGAUCGUAGUCGCGAUUGCGAAAAUGAACGAGGAAACAGAAAAUGCCAGGAACUCGGGAAAGUAAAACGAAGAAGGAAGGAAAUGCAAACGAGAAAGUACACCAGCAUUAGAUUUAUGACGAUGGGCUCUCGAGGUGACAUAAUGAGUCGCCGAACGUAGCCGCGGUCACGGGACGGACAUGUAACAACAGAGGUAUGGAAUAAUUAUGCAGCUCUCCUUAAAAGCAAAGAUUGA